AACUAGAGCUAGCCACAAGUUGGCUAACAAUAGCUAGCUAGCGGGUUCACUGAAACCAACAGCCAAACGAUUGAAGACCAAUAUUCUGAGGUUUUUUUCAGCACAAUGAUCAGGUGGUGACAGGAGUCUCAUCAGGGUCAGGCAACCAGGGAAGACCAGUCUGUGACAGCGCAGAGGAGAACUUUUGCAGAUACAACACGUUAUCCUCUCUGUGCAGCAAACACUGGACAAGCAAGAAGCUUCAAAGAAUCAAAAUAUUUUAAGGCAGUCUGCCAAACCUCUAAAGUUGAUUACCAAACUGUGUCAAGGGUUGAUAUAGUAUUUUCCCGAUGACACAAAAUAUGUAAAACAAAAAAGUAAGGAAGAUCUGGGAGAUGUUAUUGAUGAUGAAUGGAUACAGAUAUGUUAAAUGCCCAGUCAUGUUUAUGUAAUCUCACACACAAAUCACUGCAUUUUAAGACAAUCCGUAGAAUGUACAAUAUGCCAAUGAAACUUAAUUUCAGGCUCUCAGAAAUGUAAUUCUUCUGCUGGAGGUGUAAAACACAAAAGGGGACAUAUUUCUAUAUGGUAUGGCUGGCUGAAUUCUGGCAAAGAGUAUGUGCUUUUAUCUCAAAAUGUCUACAUCUCCCUUUUCCCUGUUUUUGUUUGGUUGGAAAUGUUGAUACUGGAGACUGUUAUCAGAUGAAACUGUGUAACCUAGCAUUUAUAAUGGCUAAAAAAUGCAUUGCCAUUUAUUGGAAGAUUGGUUAUCCUCCCACAAUGGAUAGAAGAAAUAUAAAGUAAUGUAUCACUGGCUGCCUGAUAUGGAAUACUGUACAACAAAAGGAGUCUGUAUUGAAAACAUGCCCAGGUCAGGGGAGAUAACUUUAGGCAAUCCCUAGCUGCUGGGCUGCUCAGUCCUGGCCCUAUGGGUCUGCUGUCCUGUUGGUUGUCACUCUGGCCUUGGCCUAACACACCUGAAACCAAUAAUGAAAGUUUCACUAAGAUCCAAAAGCUGAGUGGGGUGUGUUGGGUUGGGGUGCUGCAGUGCCGUGGACCCCUAGGGGCAGGACGAGGUGACCCAGCUAU
Molecule: long non-coding RNA, 1068 nt
Organism: Oncorhynchus tshawytscha (Chinook salmon)
Lineage: Eukaryota; Metazoa; Chordata; Actinopteri; Salmoniformes; Salmonidae
Source: Ensembl